RNAcentral lists this long non-coding RNA (1389 nucleotides) under Homo sapiens (human). Its description in RNAcentral is "non-protein coding lnc-LTBP1-4:1". Lineage: Eukaryota; Metazoa; Chordata; Mammalia; Primates; Hominidae. The record is from RNAcentral.
GGUUUCUCCAUGUUGGCCAGACUAGUCUCAAACUCCUGACCUCAGGUGAUCUACCUGCCUCAGCCUCCCAAAGUGAUGGGAUUACAGAUGUGAGCCACUGUGCCAGGUCUAAAUUUUAUUUUUGGAUUGUCUAUUGUUAGCAUAUAGAAACACAGUUGAUUUUUAUAUAUUAAUUAUAUCUUGCAACCUUGCUGAGCUCAUUUAUUACUUCUAGUAGGUGAAAUUAUUCCUAAAUCAGCUUGUUUUUAAGCUUGUUAAAGUGGGUCUGGAGUUGUCCUUAUUUUCUCAUAACUCUUUAAAAAAAAAAAUCAACCAGCCCUCUAAUAACCUUUUCUUAAGGUAUAACCUCUCUGGGAUUGAAUUUAAUGCCAUGGGCAAUCAAUAAGAACUCUCCAGUUUUGCUAGUUUAGAAUUUGAAUAACUUCUAGCACAGUGUGACCUCCAAAAUCUCCAUUCAGCUCACAGCUUUCUGGUAGUUAUUCUAAUAAUAAGUGUUGACAAGGACAUGGAGAAAUUGGAAUCCUUGUGCGCUGUUGGUGGGAAUGUAAAACAGUACAGCUGCUGUGGAAAACAGUAUGGUAGUUCCUUUAAAAAUCGAAAAUGGAAUUACCAUAUGGUCCAGCACUUUUACUUCUGGGUAUAUACCCCAAAGAAUUUAAAGCAGGAUCUCAAAGAGAAAUGUGUAUACUUACAUUCAUAGCAGCAUUAUUCACAUAGCUAAAACCUGGAAGCAACCCAAAUUUCCAUCUAUGGAUGAAUGGAUACACAAAAUGUGGUAUGUACAUACAAUGGAAUAUUAGUCUUAAAAAGGAAGGAAAUUGUGACACAUGCUACAAAAUGGAUGAACCUGGAGGAGGUUUAUGUUAAGUGAAGUAAACCAGUCACAAAAAAACAAAUACUGUAUGAUUCCACUUACAUGAAGUACUUAGAGUAGUCAAAAUCAUAGACACAGAAAGUAGAAUGGUCGUUGGGGCUGAAGAGAGGAGGAAUGAAGAGUUAUGGUUUAAUGGGGUAGAGUUUCAGUUUUACAAGGUGAAAAUAGUUCUGGAGAUGGAUGCUGGUGAUGGUUGUACAACAUUAUGAAUGUAUUUAAUACUGAUGAAUUGUACAUUUAAAAAUGGUUAAGAUUCUAAAUUGUAUGUUAUGUGUAUUUUACUAAAAUGAGAAAGAGUAGAGGAAAAAAAUCUCUCUAAGCAUCCAGGUCUAAAAAGUUUACCAGAUUAGUUUAUGAUACACCAAACAAACUCCAGAUAGACUAAAUCUAUGCUAAAUAUUUUUAAUCUCAUAGAAAAAUUAGGAAUAGGGAAUGGAAGUAGAUACUGAUAAAAGUGCUUGAACUCUGAAGCAGUAAAAGAGAGCUGGAAUGAAUUUUUAUGAUCACAUUUAAAA